GUGUUUGUGCCAGGAUACACCUGUGUGUGGCUGUAAAGCAAUUAUCCAAAUUGCACUUCAAAUUGAACCUCUCUGCUCCCCUUGAGGCAUUUUGGGUCGCAAUCUCCCAGAUUUCCAUUAAAAAGGAAAUUGAAAUUUACAAGUUUCGUGCACUUCUUUUUUAGGGCCAAAACAAUGAAAAUUCUGUAUACGGCCACUACUUAUACACAUUUGGGCAUAGUAUAUAUUGCUAUAUCUGUGAAUAGUUCGAGAAAACUGUAUACAGAUGAGUAGAGGGAAAUAGUAAGAGACAAAGUCUACCACAACGAAACUAAGUUACAUAAAAAACAUACACCAAAUUUCAGUGAAAUAUUCGGGCUUUAAAUAUAGGGAAACAUAGUAAAAUUACAAGGCAGUUACUUUGAUUAACCAUAUGUAAACAUAUUAAAAAGUAUUUCUAUAAAUGAAAUUACGAUUGAUAUCCAAAAUGCAAGUAAGUCUUGCUUGCCCUUCACAUGGAUGCAUUUCCGAUCUGACUGCUCGGCGUAGACAAGUCACAACAGAUAACUUAGAUAAAGAUGAGCGAGGUAAGAAAGAAUGCUUAGCAGACAAGCAGGUCAAGCAGUGCAAAUAGUAAACACGAUGGAACUAACAAAAUGAUAAUAAACAUACGAAUUUUGAGCAGCAACAGACAAUAUGCGCCUGGAUUGGCCAAUAAUUACUGGCUGCUCCGAAUAAUAAAUAUAAACCACUUGCAAGUAAAUAUUACAUAAAUUUGUACGAAUUAUUUUCAUAUUAAUGCCGAACUGUAAGUGGAAACACUUCCAUUCAAAUGUUUCCACUCUCGGUGCAAAUACAUAUAAUGGCAUACAAAUUUAAGCCUAGAUGGUCAUGCCUAUUUUUAGUACGUUAAAGUCAUCACAUUUUUUAAAUACUAGUAUAUGAUUCGAAUUAGGGAUACAUUUCGAAGUUCGCUUUCUUUAUACAAGAGUCGAAGAGAUAUACUUGGUGAUGAGAACUAGCGCAAAUCUAGAUUUGUGUGUUCUUCUUAAUUUUCAUUUCAGUUAUAAACUUGAAAUGUUUUCUACAACUUUAGCUGGCCAAGUAACUCUUCUCGCUCAAGCUUUGAGUAAGUGUUAAAAACAGUAGUUACAUGUGAUCCAAGGACUUGUUAGUCUGCAGACUGCAGCAGCUCAGCAACGGCUGGAGCUGUAUGAAACAUUUGUUCAAAACGACGAAGGCUAAUGGAAAUAAUAUAUGACACAAUCUAGGGUUAAGUCUUAGUUUUAAAAUUUAAGCAAUAUCUAAGCAUUAAUUGAAGGUAGUCGUAGAUGAAAUGGAUGCCACCGACAACCAACAAUUACUUCGGGAAUACAUCAUUGUUUGCUAUUUCAAAUACCAAUGAAACUAGUUGUAUGUUCCAUUCAAUCGUAGAAGUAUUUUUAGCCCGGAAUAAAUAUGUUUUAGAAAACUUAAUUGGCCAGACUGUCCGCCCCUAUACCAAGGUUGGCCUUCAUCCGGAAGAUUGUCAGAGACCACAAGACAAAAGACCUUUUUUGUGGGGUCCUAGGUCGGAGGUGUAAGGGCAAACAGCAUUUGAGUGCUUGCUUCAUUUGGCCCAGGUCUGCCUGCUUCCAGCCCCAGGCGCUUCCGGGUGCGGUCGGUCUGCCCCGGAUCGACCCCAGCACGGGAUCUGGAUAAAGCCAUGAAGAAGGAGCCAGGGUCCUGCCUGGCACGAGUAUUCAGUGGAGGGCCAGGCAGGACGGACCGGACCGGGCCGUGCCGGGCUGGGCGGGGUCGGGAUGUAGGAGCUACUUAGCAAACAUCAACACCUGUUAAGAGUUACACUCGAGAACAAAGCUGCAAAUUGGCUGGCGGUAAGUGCAGCUGUAGCUAAGAGGCGACCGACCCACACCAGCGACAUCACCAACACCAGCACCAGCACCACCCCCACCACAAACCCCAACAGCAGCAACAACAAUAACUAAUCAAUUUGCAGGACGCAAGCAACGAGAGAGACAGCUAUAUAAGGAGAGAGAGAACGAAAACGGGAACGGGACAGGGAGAGAGAGCUAUGACGAUGGAAAUUUUGCUGACCGCAGGCAAUGGCGAUGUUCCGGGCCAUGACGACGCCAUGGUAAUGGUAGCACAAAGCACGCCAAGGAAGGACGGGGGGCCUUAAACUUCAUUAUGAGAUUUGUGUAAUUGUUAACCAAUUUACCGUUACGUUUUGCAUGCCACAAGCCACAGCAGCAGCAGCAGCAACAAAUCCAUUCCAACUGUGCUGCCACUCGCCCUUCAAGACGAUAACGCUCGUGAUAUAUUGUCCACAUUAUAAUACCGGAAAUGUUAUUAAUUCAAAAUUCUGCUCAAUUUCGUGCACUUUGUAGGCUGUUGCUGCUUUAGCUUCACGCUGCAGAUGUAGAUGUCGAUUUAAGGAUUGGGCAAACUGCUUCAAACAGCUCAGAUCGUGGUAUUUGUAAUUGGGCUUGUAUCUGCACCGUAUAGAUGUAGCAAUAUAUAUGUAUGUAUAUAUUUUCCAGUGUGCAGUUGCACCUAUCGGCGGUUGCAACUAAAUGAACGAAAUGAUCAGGCAUCCAGAGAAAUCCGCUGAAGCCGACGGCACAGUAGGACAUGCCGGGAAAAGGGAGACUUUUGGUGGAAAAUAUUUUGAAUAGAAACAAAGAUGGCCUAAGAUAUUCCAUUUGCCAACAGUUAGUAGUGAGUUUCCUUAGUAUGAGAAAAUUUGAUUGGGUUUAUAAAAAGUUACUUCCUUAAUGCACCACAUCCCAACAACUGGGGAUCAAGUUAACCAUUAGAUCAAUUAGAUAUAACCAUGCAAAUGAAGCAGUAAAAGGACUACACCCUCAAAAAUUAUCUUAUUCAAUUAAACUCUUAAAAUACUUAGUAUGUAGUAAAACUAAAAAAAAACUCAGUUAAAAAAUAAAAA
Molecule: long non-coding RNA, 2929 nt
Organism: Drosophila pseudoobscura
Lineage: Eukaryota; Metazoa; Arthropoda; Insecta; Diptera; Drosophilidae
Exons: 3
Source: RefSeq, a predicted model, not a curated record